Molecule: small nuclear RNA, 119 nt
Filed under: Crocodylus porosus (Australian saltwater crocodile)
Lineage: Eukaryota; Metazoa; Chordata; Crocodylia; Crocodylidae
Description: U2 spliceosomal RNA (ENSCPRG00005014749.1)
Rfam family: U2 spliceosomal RNA
About the family: U2 is a small nuclear RNA (snRNA) component of the spliceosome (involved in pre-mRNA splicing). Complementary binding between U2 snRNA (in an area lying towards the 5' end but 3' to hairpin I) and the branchpoint sequence (BPS) of the intron results the bulging out of an unpaired adenosine, on the BPS, which initiates a nucleophilic attack at the intronic 5' splice site, thus starting the first of two transesterification reactions that mediate splicing.
Source: RNAcentral
UGUCCUCCAUAGGAGGUCUAUAUUGAGCAGAUUCUUUUUGAUAUUGGUUGGUGGACCUGGAGCGUGCUCCAUCCACUCCAUGCAUUGACCUGGUAUUGCAGUGCUUCCAGGACCGGUGC